GCUGCUUGUACAUCCCAAAAACGGUCCUGACAUCUAUAGUAGAAAAGUUGGUAGGAAAUAGGCUUAGAUGGUUUAGGCAGGUAGAGAGAAGAUCCAUAGAUGCCGUCGUAAGAAGAGUAGAUCAAAUUGAGGAAAGUCAAGUCAAAAGAGGUGGAGAAAAACCUAGGAAAACUAUAAGAGAAAUCAUUAGAAAGGAUUUAGAGGUCAAUAAGUUGGAUCCAAAUAUGAUUUAUGAUAGAACACUAUGGCGUACUUUGAUCCAUGUAGCCAACCCCACUUAGUGAGAUAAAGCUUGGUAGUUGUUGUUGUUGUCGUCAUUUUUACCGAAGUAGAUGCACAAAGUGAGAGUGGAAGCAAUUGAAUUGAGAAAGUUGAGUUGUUGAUUCUUCUUUAGAUCUAAGUUUCUGACAUCGUCAUCAGUUAUGUGCAUAAACGAUAUGAUAACUGACAGGACCAGUGGCACGUCCGGUGUUUGGUUGAACUUGUCAUACAAGUAAAUCCUAUCCAGGUUUAAUAACAUUGUGUUUAAUAACUUGUGCAAUCUUUUUCCAGAAAAUGUUUGAAUGUUCAUCAUAUUCAUGUGUUGUUUUAUGAACAAGAUGAAGAAAAUC
RNAcentral lists this long non-coding RNA (611 nucleotides) under Medicago truncatula (barrel medic). Its description in RNAcentral is "long non-coding RNA (MTRU_LNC004977)". Lineage: Eukaryota; Viridiplantae; Streptophyta; Magnoliopsida; Fabales; Fabaceae. The record is from RNAcentral.